This 912-nucleotide long non-coding RNA is filed under the name Helianthus annuus (common sunflower). RNAcentral describes it as "sRNA HanXRQr2_Chr04g0162121". The record is from RNAcentral. Lineage: Eukaryota; Viridiplantae; Streptophyta; Magnoliopsida; Asterales; Asteraceae.
GUGAAAUAGAUCUAGGUCUUCGACGGUGGUGCUUGUGUUUUAUAGUAGUUGCGGUUCAAGGCUUCAAGCGACAUUGAUGACACCGGUUUUCGAACAUAGCAGAGGCGGUGCAACCAUUGGCUGAGGUCUCGCGGUGGUCUUUGACAUCACAAACAUAUCUGGUUGUGGCAACGACUUAUUGUUGAAGAUGGGAGGUUGCCUUGUGCUUAGGAGCACAGAGCACUCGUACUUGAAUAGACCAUGGUAUGCUUUAGGUCUGCUUCUCAUUUGCAAACCAUAGACGGCAAGAUGAAAUAGAACCAAAGAGACAACUUCUACUAAUUAAUAGGAAAAUAGAUGAUGAAGUUUCCAGAAAUCUUGCAAGAUUUUGCUUAUAAUGAGAACAACAAAAGCAGAACCAAGGGUUAAAGAAGCUUAAAUUUGCAAAAGGAGCAAAAAGACAGCAAAAACCAAGAUAAAAGUAAAGAAGGAGGAAUUGCCGCUACUCGCUAAGCCCCGAUUCACAUCCAAACCACAAAAUAGCAAGAACAGAAGGCUGUCAUGGGGUCGUGUCCACCAGACAUGGGCCGUGUCCGAAGUUGGAUGCUGGGCAGAAGCAAAGACAACUGCAAAAGACAAAAAUAACAACCAACACGGGGCCGUGCUAAGCCAAAACGGGGUGUGGUCAACUCAAAGAUUUUCAGAAUAUGCGUUAGUACAGCAAGUACUUUUGCCACGGGCCAUGCCGUUGACACACGGGGCCGUGUUAGUACAAUAUCUGACAAGCAGUUAAUGAGGAAGAGAGAGAUAGAGAUGGGCACGGGGCUGUGCCAGCCGAGCACGGGCUGUGCUGAAGCUUCUGAAGACACCUAUAAAUAGAAGUGAUUGGUUCCACUUCAACUAUAACAACCCUCCUAAAAUUUUUUCGACACC